AGUGAACGCUGGCGGUAGGCCUAACACAUGCAAGUCGAACGGCAGCACAGUAAGAGCUUGCUCUUACGGGUGGCGAGUGGCGGACGGGUGAGGAAUACAUCGGAAUCUACUUUUUCGUGGGGGAUAACGUAGGGAAACUUACGCUAACACCGCAUACGACCUACGGGUGAAAGCAGGGGAUCUUCGGACCUUGCGCGAUUGGAUGAGCCGAUGUCGGAUUAGCUAGUUGGCGGGGUAAAGGCCCACCAAGGCGACGAUCCGUAGCUGGUCUGAGAGGAUGAUAAGCCACACUGGAACUGAGACACGGUCCAGACUCCUACGGGAGGCAGCAGUGGGGAAUAUUGGACAAUGGGCGCAAGCCUGAUCCAGCCAUACCGCGUGGGUGAAGAAGGCCUUCGGGUUGUAAAGCCCUUUUGUUGGGAAAGAAAAGCAGCAGGUUAAUACCCCGCUGUUCUGACGGUACCCAAAGAAUAAGCACCGGCUAACUUCGUG
RNAcentral lists this ribosomal RNA (492 nucleotides) under uncultured bacterium. RNAcentral's name for it is "partial 16S ribosomal RNA". It matches the Rfam family "Bacterial small subunit ribosomal RNA", at positions 29 to 507 of the family's 1533-position model. The record is from RNAcentral.